UGAACGCUAGCUACAGGCUUAACACAUGCAAGUCGCGGGGGCAGCAUAUAGAUAGCUUGCUAUUAUGAUGGCGACCGGCGCACGGGUGAGUAACGCGUAUCCAACCUUCCCCAUAGUAGGGUAUAGCCCGGCGAAAGUCGGAUUAAUCCCCUAUGUUGUUUGAAGCGGACAUCUAAUUCAAACCAAAGAUUCAUCGCUAUGGGAUGGGGAUGCGUCUGAUUAGGUUGCAGGCGGGGUAACGGCCCACCUGGCCGACGAUCAGUAGGGGUUCUGAGAGGAAGGUCCCCCACACUGGUACUGAGACACGGACCAGACUCCUACGGGAGGCAGCAGUGAGGAAUAUUGGUCAAUGGGCGCGAGCCUGAACCAGCCAAGUAGCGUGCAAGGAUGACGGCCCUACGGGUUGUAAACUGCUUUUAUGCGGGGAUAAAGUGCGGCACGUGUGCCGUUUUGCAGGUACCGCAUGAAUAAGGACCGGCUAAUUCCGUGCCAGCAGCAGC
RNAcentral lists this ribosomal RNA (500 nucleotides) under uncultured bacterium. Its description in RNAcentral is "bacterial SSU rRNA". It matches the Rfam family "Bacterial small subunit ribosomal RNA", at positions 30 to 518 of the family's 1533-position model. The record is from RNAcentral.